Molecule: long non-coding RNA, 1072 nt
Organism: Populus nigra (black poplar)
Lineage: Eukaryota; Viridiplantae; Streptophyta; Magnoliopsida; Malpighiales; Salicaceae
Exons: 3
Source: RefSeq, a predicted model, not a curated record
UAUAUUAUCGUGAAAUGCAACGUGAUUGGUGAGAUGGGGUUGCACGCGUAGGCAGUUAGCGUGUGUGUACCAAAAUAGAGAGAAUUUGAGAAAAGGAAAGAGAGAGAGAGAGAGGAGUUUUUUUUAUUAUUACUACUACCAGCAGCUGCUGCUUCUGCUGCUGCUGCUGAUCAUGCUUAAAAUUAGGGCCAGAUUGGGUGAACUCACGCCUACCCAAAACCAGAUACAAUCCACUUUUCUUUUUUAGCUGUGGAUUGAGCAACCUCAGCUGGGAUCUGAUCAACUGCGGUGGCUAAAUUGCUGGCGAUGGCAGCCUAUCCUAUGUCUUCGAAGGAUAGACACUGGACAGUGAUUGGAUGAUCAAUCAAGAUUUGGUUAGGUAGGAGUGCUUACGACAUCUUGCAAUCCUUCCAAACACUACAAGAUAACAACAACAGCUUCUUGGAUUCUUGUUCGUAAUUUCAUGCUGUUUGUCACUGGUUAUAAAUCCACAAACAGCCCACCUUCCUGUACUCGAUGCAGCCCGCAUCGACUUUUGCCUGUGUUCGGGACUGGAAUAUAGUGGAUUUAUGUGGCGUAUUGAAGGCGCUAUGCAUUCAUUGACGACAAGUAUCCAAAUCAUUGUGUUGGUGAUUUUAUUACUGUCCUUCUGUUCCCAAUCAAAUGAUACUUACAAAGCCCCACCAAGUGAAGGAAGAAAAGAAAAUGCAAGAAAACUUCCUGUACAAAAUAAAUAUGAGUUCAACAAAAAAAAGAAUGCGUGUAUAUAUCUGAUGUGGUUGCAUAUACUGAACCAAAACUGGUACUGGAAGCAUGCACUCCAGAGACAAGAAAGAGACACAAAUACAUAGCCACGAGUAUUGACUCCUGAUCCACAACUUCAGUCAGAAUCGGACUCAGUAUGAAUGUGAAAGCCAUGGGUGCUCUAGGGCCUCCCUUGCAGUUGGACGCCUCAGGGGGUUGAGCUCAAGCAAGUCUCUCACGAAAUCAAUGAACCCAACGUCGGAAACUUGUAGAUGAUGUUCCAGUGAGGAUUCCUCAGGAAUAAGGUAUUCUACUUGAUUUGUCUCCU